GCGUCUCCGUUAAUGAUUUUAGGUGCUUGCAUUUGAAAGAUUUAACAUUGAGACGAGUGGCGAACUGGUGAGUAACACGUGGGUAACCUGCCCUUGAAGUAGGGGAUAACACUUGGAAACAGGUGCUAAUACCGUAUAACAACCAAAACCACCUGGUUUUGGUUUAAAAGACGGCUUCGGCUGUCACUUUAGGAUGGACCCGCGGCGUAUUAGCUUGUUGGUAAGGUAACGGCCUACCAAGGCGAUGAUACGUAGCCGACCUGAGAGGGUAAUCGGCCACAUUGGGACUGAGACACGGCCCAAACUCCUACGGGAGGCAGCAGUAGGGAAUCUUCCACAAUGGACGAAAGUCUGAUGGAGCAACGCCGCGUGAGUGAUGAAGGGUUUCGGCUCGUAAAACUCUGUUGUUGGAGAAGAACAGGUGUCAGAGUAACUGUUGACAUCUUGACGGUAUCCAACCAGAAAGCCACGGCUAACUACGUGCCAGCAGCCGCGGUAAUACGUAGGUGGCAAGCGUUGUCCGGAUUUAUUGGGCGUAAAGCGAGCGCAGGCGGUUUUUUAGGUCUGAUGUGAAAGCCUUCGGCUUAACCGGAGAAGUGCAUCGGAAACCGGGAGACUUGAGUGCAGAAGAGGACAGUGGAACUCCAUGUGUAGCGGUGAAAUGCGUAGAUAUAUGGAAGAACACCAGUGGCGAAGGCGGCUGUCUGGUCUGUAGCUGACGCUGAGGCUCGAAAGCAUGGGUAGCGAACAGGAUUAGAUACCCUGGUAGUCCAUGCCGUAAACGAUGAGUGCUAAGUGUUGGAGGGUUUCCGCCCUUCAGUGCUGCAGCUAACGCAUUAAGCACUCCGCCUGGGGAGUACGAC
This 863-nucleotide ribosomal RNA is filed under the name uncultured bacterium. RNAcentral describes it as "bacterial SSU rRNA". It matches the Rfam family "Bacterial small subunit ribosomal RNA", at positions 42 to 886 of the family's 1533-position model. The record is from RNAcentral.